CCGGAUAACAUUUUGAACCGCAUGGUUCGAAAUUGAAAGGCGGCUUCGGCUGUCACUUAUGGAUGGACCCGCGUCGCAUUAGCUAGUUGGUGAGGUAACGGCUCACCAAGGCAACGAUGCGUAGCCGACCUGAGAGGGUGAUCGGCCACACUGGGACUGAGACACGGCCCAGACUCCUACGGGAGGCAGCAGUAGGGAAUCUUCCGCAAUGGACGAAAGUCUGACGGAGCAACGCCGCGUGAGUGAUGAAGGCUUUCGGGUCGUAAAACUCUGUUGUUAGGGAAGAACAAGUGCUAGUUGAAUAAGCUGGCACCUUGACGGUACCUAACCAGAAAGCCACGGCUAACUACGUGCCAGCAGCCGCGGUAAUACGUAGGUGGCAAGCGUUAUCCGGAAUUAUUGGGCGUAAAGCGCGCGCAGGUGGUUUCUUAAGUCUGAUG
This 440-nucleotide ribosomal RNA is filed under the name uncultured bacterium. Its description in RNAcentral is "bacterial SSU rRNA". It matches the Rfam family "Bacterial small subunit ribosomal RNA", at positions 169 to 594 of the family's 1533-position model. The record is from RNAcentral.